Molecule: ribosomal RNA, 252 nt
Filed under: uncultured bacterium
Lineage: Bacteria
Description: partial 16S ribosomal RNA
Rfam family: Bacterial small subunit ribosomal RNA
Source: RNAcentral
ACGGGUGAGUAAUGUCUGGGAAACUGCCUGAUGGAGGGGGGAUAACUACUGGAAACGGUAGCUAAUACCGCAUAACGUCGCAAGACCAAAGAGGGGGACCUUCGGGCCUCUUGCCAUCAGAUGUGCCCAGAUGGGAUUAGCUAGUAGGUGGGGUAACGGGCUCACCUAGGUGACGAUCCCUAGCUGGUCUGAGAGGAUGACCAGCCACACUGGGACUGAGACACGGUCCAGACUCCUACGGGAGGCAGCAUG